UCCCAGGCUGAAAUGAUCCUCCCACCUCAGCCUUCCAAGUAGCUGGGACUACAGGUGUGUGCCACCAUGCUCGGCUGAUUUUUGUGUGUGUGGUUUUUUUUGUUUUUUGUUUUUUUUUUUUUUGGUAAAAAUGGGAUUUCACAGCUGGUCGCGGUGGCUCACGCCUGUAAUCCCGGCACUUUGGGAGGCCAAGGCAGGCGGAUCACAAAGUCAGGAGAUCGAGGCCAUCCUGGCUAACACGGGGAAACCCCAUUUCUACUAAAAAUACAAAAAAUUAGCCGGGCGUGGUGGCGGGCGCCUGUAGUCCCAGCUACUCGGGAGGCUGAGGCAGGAGAAUGGCAUGAACCUGGGAGGUGGAGCUUGCAUGAGCUGAGAUCAUGCCUUUGCACUCCAGCCUGGGCAAAAAAAAGUGAAACUCAGAAAAAAGAAAGAGAAAAGGACAAAGAAGAGAGAGGAAGGAUGAAAAGAGGAAAGGAGGGAGAGAGGGAGGGAGGGAAGGAAAGGAAAAAGGGACAGAAAAAGGAAAGAUGAAAGGUCAAAAUAGAGACCACUCUUGACAUGUUGAUGGCAGGAGACCAUGAACAAGUGUUAACAACCUUCCCAGGCCACACUUUGAUUCACCAGCUGCCUAGGGGAGCAACUGAGUCAAAGUUGGGCUUAGGAGGGAGGGGUCUGCAGUGUGGUGGGCACUUAAAAUACACAACAGGCCGAUUGUGUCAGGACGUUACUCCAAUGAGAGGAGACAAUUCAGGAGGACAGCUGAGCUCAGUGACUGAAAGCAAGGGACAGAUGCUUGAUGGCCUGGGCUCAGAUCCUACCUAGAAGCUGGGGGACCCUGGGAAAGGGAGAGAGUGACUUAACCCCUCUGUGCUCAGUCCCCUGCUGUGUGAUAUGGAGGUGUUUAUGGGGCCUGCCUGUUAGCAUCAUGUUCUGAAGCUUACCCUAAGCAGAUCCAUAUUAAGCCUGAAGAAAAAUGACUGGCACUUCAUAAGUGCUAUACAAGUGUUCAGAUGUGAAGCCUCUGCAGGAAAAAGACAGACACGUAGCAGUAGUUGCCUCCAGAGAGGAAACUUGGUUGACUACAAGACAUGGAAGGUGGAAGAUCUCUUUCCAGCCUUUAUAUGGGCAGGAUGCCUUAUAGCUCCUCAAGGGAAUCUGCCCUCAUCUCCUCUGACCUUCAUAUGAGCCCUGUGGGAUGGGCAGAGCAGGGCUGUGACCCACAUUUUACAGUUGAAAACUGACAUUUAGAGGGGCUGAUUUUCCAAAGCCACACACUGAGGAGGGAUGGGCUGGAGCUAGGAAUGAAGUUGGUUCCCUGGAGCUGAAGAUCCAUCAAGCAGAAGCCCUCUGGGUCUCGCCUUGGGCACCUGAACCAGGGCUUCCCUCACUCCAUUUCCCAAAUCUUGUUCCAGGAUUGCUUUGGGAAGAGCUACUGUCCUGUGGAAGGUGCCUGACCCAGCCUUCUGCCUCUGCAUUUUAAUCCCUGACCCAAAAUAUGAUGCAGCCGAUCCCAAACAGAGGCCCCUUG
This 1528-nucleotide long non-coding RNA is filed under the name Macaca mulatta (Rhesus monkey). RNAcentral describes it as "lncRNA (ENSMMUG00000060944.1)". Lineage: Eukaryota; Metazoa; Chordata; Mammalia; Primates; Cercopithecidae. The record is from RNAcentral.